UACAAUUAGCUUGUGAAGGAAAUCAAAAAUGCAGGUCAAAUGACACUUCUCAACUUGCACCAAAGGCUGCAGACUGGUACCAGUGAAAUGGCAUUUCUCUUCUUCCUAAUGGAGGCUAAUUUAAAUGUUCCCAUCUGUUAAAGAUAAGAAACCCAGGACCCUGAGAUAGCAAACAUUUUGCCCACAAUCAUACAGUCAGCAUGGAGAAUGGGGAUCUAAAUUGGAGAAGCCUGAAGAAAGCUCUGCUGAUAAGGAAUGCCAGAUCCUAACUGUGCUGCUGAUACAGCUGUCCUGGGCAAGAAGGAAAACAAAACGGGACACUGCCUGAUGA
This is a long non-coding RNA of Sarcophilus harrisii (Tasmanian devil), 331 nucleotides long. RefSeq lists it as uncharacterized. The record is from RefSeq and is a predicted model, not a curated record. The transcript has 3 exons. NCBI's taxonomy places the organism in Eukaryota, Metazoa, Chordata, Mammalia, Dasyuromorphia, Dasyuridae.